GAAUCUUACUUGAGCAGGUCUCUUUAUUGGCUUAUGAAGGUGCUUCCUUGUGCUAGUGUGUUGGUAGUGGCGCCUGCCAGACCAGACCAACUCUGGGACAGGACUCAAAGAUACUGAAAUCUGCCUGGCUCCAAAUUCUUUCUAAGCUAGAAGAGGAGAAACCAGAGGGCAUGGGAGGUUUGAGAAUAUUCAGCUUUGUUGCAAACCUGGGUAGAGAUCACUUCCCUUUGUGCAGGUUG
RNAcentral lists this long non-coding RNA (239 nucleotides) under Marmota monax (woodchuck). The record is from RNAcentral. Lineage: Eukaryota; Metazoa; Chordata; Mammalia; Rodentia; Sciuridae.